Molecule: ribosomal RNA, 464 nt
Filed under: uncultured bacterium
Lineage: Bacteria
Description: partial 16S ribosomal RNA
Rfam family: Bacterial small subunit ribosomal RNA
Source: RNAcentral
CCUACGGGGGGCAGCAGUGGGGAAUCUUCCGCAAUGGGCGAAAGCCUGACGGAGCAACGCCGCGUGAUGGAAUGAAGGCCUUCGGGUUGUAAAGAUCUGUUGACAGGGACGAAUAAGCAAUGCGAAUAGUCUUGUGUAUGACGGUACCUGUUUAGAAAGCUCCGGCUAACUACGUGCCAGCAGCCGCGGUAAUGCGUAGGGAGCAAGCGUUGUUCGGAAUUACUGGGCGUAAAGGGCGCGGCGGGGGGCACUUAAGUCAGGUGUGAAAACUUCGGGCUCCACCUGGGGACUGCACUUGAAACUGGGUUUCUUGAGGGCAGGAGAGGAAAGUGGAAUUCCUAGUGUAGCGGUGAAAUGCGUAGAUAUUAGGAGGAACACCAGUGGCGAAGGCGACUUUCUGGAGUGUACCUGACGCUGAGGCGCGAAAGCGUGGGUAGCGAACGGGAUUAGAUACCCUGGUAGUC